This is a long non-coding RNA of Gadus macrocephalus (Pacific cod), 1177 nucleotides long. RefSeq lists it as uncharacterized. The transcript has 2 exons. NCBI's taxonomy places the organism in Eukaryota, Metazoa, Chordata, Actinopteri, Gadiformes, Gadidae. The record is from RefSeq and is a predicted model, not a curated record.
ACACUGAGGAACCUGCUGCCUUUAGAACCUCCCCAGGUACUGAGACACUGAGGAACACCCUGCCUCUAGAGCCUCCCCAGGUACUGAGACACUGAGGAACCUGCUGCCUCUAGAACCUCCCCAGGUACUGAGACACUGAGGAACCUGCUGCCUCUAGAACCUCCCCAGGUACUGAGACACUGAGGAACCUGCUGCCUCUAGAACCUCCCCAGGUACUGAGACACUGAGGAACCUGCUGCCUCUAGAGCCUCCCCAGGUACUGAGACACUGAGGAACCUGCUGCCUCUAGAGCCUCCCCAGGUACUGAGACACUGAGGAACACCCUGCCUCUAGAACCUCCCCACGUACUGAGACACUGAGGAACCUCCUGCCUCUAGAACCUCCCCACGUACUGAGACACUGAGGAACCUCCUGCCUACAGACAGGCUCUAGAACCUCCUCAGGUACUGAGACACUGAGGAACCUGCUGCCUCUAGAACUUCCCCAGGUACUGAGACACUGAGGAACCUGCUGCCUCUAGAACCUCCCCAGGUACUGAGACACUGAGGAACCUGCUGCCUCUAGAACCUCCUCAGGUACUGAGACACUGAGGAACCUGCUGCCUCUAGAACCUCCUCAGGUACUGAGACACUGAGGAACACCCUGCCUCCAGACAGGCUCUAGAACCUCCUCAGGUACUGAGACACUGAGGAACCUCCUGCCUCCAGACAGGCUCUAGAACCUCCUCAGGUACUGAGACACUGAGGAACACCCUGCCUCUAGAACCUCCCCAGGUACUGAGACACUGAGGAACCUGCUGCCUCUAGAACCUCCCCAGGUACUGAGACACUGAGGAACCUCCUGCCUCUAGAACCUCCUCAGGUACUGAGACACUGAGGAACCUGCUGCCUCUAGAACCUCCCCACGUACUGAGACACUGAGGAACCUGCUGCCUCUAGAACCUCCCCAGGUACUGAGACACUGAGGAACCUGCUGCCUCUAGAACCUCCCCAGGUACUGAGACACUGAGGAACCUGCUGCCUCUAGAACCUCCUCAGGUACUGAGACACUGAGGAACCUCCUGCCUCUAGAACCUCCUCAGGUACUGAGACACUGAGGAACCUCCUGCCUCCAGACAGGCUCUAGAACCUCCUCAGGUACUGAGACACUGAGGAACCUCCUGCCUCUAGAACCUCCC